RNAcentral lists this ribosomal RNA (440 nucleotides) under uncultured bacterium. Its description in RNAcentral is "partial 16S ribosomal RNA". It matches the Rfam family "Bacterial small subunit ribosomal RNA", at positions 338 to 795 of the family's 1533-position model. The record is from RNAcentral.
CCUACGGGAGGCAGCAGUGGGGAAUAUUGGACAAUGGGGGUAACCCUGAUCCAGCGACGCCGCGUGAGUGAUGAAGUAUUUCGGUAUGUAAAGCUCUAUCAGCAGGGAAGAAAAUGACGGUACCUGACUAAUUAUCCCCGUCUAACUACAUGCCAGCAGCCGCGGUAAUACGUAGGGAGCAAGCGUUAUCCGGAUUUACUGGGUGUAAUGGGAGCGUAGACGGCUUUGCAAGUCUGAGGUGAAAGUUUGGGGCUCAACCACAGGACUGCGUUGGAAACUGUAAGGCUGGAGUACAGGCGAGGUAGGCGGAAGUCCUAGUGUAGCGGUGAAAUGCGUAGAUAUUAGGAGGAACACCAGUGGCGAAGGCGGCUUACUGGACUGUGACUGACGUUGAGGCUCGAAAGCGUGGGGAGCAAACAGGAUUAGAUACCCGAGUAGUC